This 42508-nucleotide long non-coding RNA is filed under the name Podarcis lilfordi (Lilford's wall lizard). The stretch from base 20185 to 20244 matches the Rfam family "tRNA", at positions 7 to 64 of the family's 71-position model. Lineage: Eukaryota; Metazoa; Chordata; Lepidosauria; Squamata; Lacertidae. The record is from RNAcentral.
CCCACCUGAUGAAGUCAGCAGGUGAAGCCACUCAUGAGUUCCUAGACCAGUAAUUGAGGGACCACUAUAGCUAAGCCUAGUUUUACUGCCUGGGCAACGUAUUUUCUGAAUGCUGCAUGGAAAAAGCCCGUGAAUUGAGGAGUUUGUAAGUAGACAAUCUCUAACUUAACCAAACUUGUGCUGUUUUUCUAAGCUUUGGGGGAAAGGGAAGUUUUGGAACUCGCAAGGCGUAAUUUUAAAGGUCUUAUAUUUUCAUGCUGUGGUUUGCUGCAUGUUUUCUGAUUUAAAAUUUCUGCUGGGGUUUUCUCACCCAGGAAUACUUUCUUGAAACCUGGACUGUGGCACCCAGGAAGGCAUGUGUGUGUGGUGUGUUGUGUUGCGUUGCAUUGUGUUGUGUUGUAGUGGGUGCAAUCUCUUGUUAUCAGGCCUAGUGGUACGCAGCCAGCAUGUCAAUACUUGUGGAUGGCAAGAGUUGUAGUUUGACAACAUUUGUAGGCUCCAUGCUAGUAACCCUUGGCCCAUUCACAAUGGUAGAUGGUACAGUUGUCCAUUUAACUGGAGAUCCUGGAAAUUGAACCUAGUAGCCUCUGCUUGAAACAUUUAUUUUUCUGCCGCUGGUCUUGGUCUUCAGAGAAAGACAGUCGUGUGGCCUACAGAACAGUGAAACAGUCUGAAAGAUUCAAAAGCAUAACAAGAUCUGUGGGAUGGGCUACUGCAUUCAGUUUAGGUUUCUUCCCCACCCCCUCCAAUGGCAUAAAACAGGGGUUAGCAAACUUUUUCAGCAGGGAGCCAGUCCACUGUCCCUCAGACCUUGUGGGGGGGCGGACUAUAUUUUGAAAAUAAAAAAAUGAAUGGAUUUCUAUGCCCCACAAAUAACCCUGGAGUGUAUGCCCCAAAUAAUAACAAAUCCGAAUUUUACAGGAAAUUGGAAGAGAAGCUUUGGGAAUUCGAGAAUGGAAAGAUAAUUUUGAUGGGAGAUUUGAAUGGAGUUGUAUCGAUUGAAAUGGAUAACCCAGAGAUGCAUUUUAAAUAAAAGCACACAUUCUACUCAUGUAAAAACACCAGGCAGGCCCCACAAAUAACCCAGAGAUGCAUUUUAAAUAAAAGGACACAUUCUACUCAUGUAAAAACAUGCUGAUUCCCAGACCAUCCGCGGGCCGGAUUUAGAAGGUGAUUGGGCCGGAUCCGGCCCCCGGGCCUUAGUUUGCCUACCCAUGGCAUAAAAUAUGGCUAUCGUUUUCUUAGAUAGGCUUCGUUAAAGUGUUACUGUCUCAUUUUUAAAACUUUGGCCUUGUGGAGAGCAUAUUUCAUUGCUAUGAUUUCCCUAAAGCAUGAAAAUGUUAUAUAGCAACAUUCCUAGAAGUUAUACGGCUUCUUGGAAUUCCAGUCCUGUAAAAUGGGGCCUUGGUUGUUCUAGUAUUUGUGGGGGUCGCUGCCAGGAAUUGUAAAAGUUCAGAACUUCAUGCUAGUAGCCUGAUGUUGAGAAUUGCUGAGGUCACAUUGUACUGAAUUAACUGGAAAUGUGUGUGUGUGUGUGUGUGUGUGUGUGUGUGUGUGUGUUGUACUGGCCAUUCAGAAAAGGAUAAUAGCCAACUUGUUCAGGAAAAAGCUCUUCAAACCAGUGGCCACAAUGCAGAGUUAAAAUAAAUAAGUUUAAGUUUACUGUGAUUACAUUUGAGGAAAUGUAGCCUCAAAUAUCGUAAUACAGCUUUAGCAAUAAAACAACCUUUUUUAAAAAAAGAAAUAAAUGAAGAAAAUGCAGCUCUGAAUCACCCCUGUGAAUUUAUCAUAAUACACACAUAUUUUGUGUGGUUUUCCCCCCCUAAAAUAUAUGCAUUCAUAUGCGUUUUGUAUAUGCAUUUUUGUACACAUUACUUGGCUGGAGAACCACACUGCAAAUGUCAGAGGUGGCUCAAUUGGUUAGAACGUAGUGCUGAUAACGCCAAGACUGCAGAAUUGGUCCCCGUAUGGGACAGCUGCAUAGUCCUGCAUUGCAGGGGGUUGGACUAGAUGAUCGUGAGAGUUCCUUCCAACUCUACAAUUCUAUAACUCUAAGUGACAAUUUUAAGUAAGAACUGGCCCCUGAGCAAGGGUGGAUGGAUCUGUCAGUUUUGGUUCUCCAUUUCUCGUUCAUUUAUUUCCUCCUCCCUCCUGAUACAUUUACUUUCUAUGCUGCAUCUUUUAGACCAGUGACAGCCAAACUUGGCCCUCCAGCUGUUUUGGGACUACAGUUCCCAUCAUCCCUGACCACUGGUCCUGUUAGCUAGGGAUGAUGGGAGUUGUAGUCCCAAAACAGCUGGCGGGCCAAGUUUGGCCAUCACUGUUUUAGACUGAAAGCAGGAACUGUCUUGUUUUUAUUGAUCUGCAAGUGGCUUUGGGGGCGGUGCUGUACAGCAGAUUAACAAUUAGAUGGCUAACAGAAUCUUCCAAGUUAUGCCUGGGCAGUCCAUUUGUUUGCAAAGCUCAUUGGAUGAUCACUGUCUCCUAUCACACAAAAUCCCUAAAGUGGAAAUCUCAUGUAUGUUGCUGCUCUGAAUAUCUUGGCAGAAGGGCAGGGCACUCACAUAACAAACAAACAAACAUUAAUGGAUUAAUUGAUGGUUUUGCUGAGCUUCCGCAGGGUUAACUACCGCUAGCGCAGCUCUGGAAAGCCGCCAGUGAUUCCUUUGAAUUCAAUUACUAACCAUUUGCUGUUGCCAUAUAUCUAUUUCUCAUAAAGCACCUUUGCUUAAUGAUGUGAGCAGUCACCAGAUGGUAUGUUGAUAUUUCAAAUAUUUUGGCAAUCGGACAAGAUAGUUGGCCUUCUAAGUGCCUUUAAUGCAGAGACGGGGGACCUGGAGUUGUCUUAAGAAGUUGCUGGACUAAAACUCCCACCAGCCUCAGCCAACAUGGAAAAUAAGAAGACAUGCUGGGAAUUGUAGUCCAACAUUAUAGAAGGAGGGACACAGGUUCCCUAUCCCUGUUUUAAUGGCUUUGAUGGAAUCCUGACCUUAAGGGAUGGUGGUGUCAUGGAAAUGCAGCUUCUCCAAGGUAGGAUUUCACUUACCUUAAAUAAUAAUAAUUAUUAUAAUUUAUUAUUUAUACCCCGCUCAUCUGGCUGGGUUUCCCAAGCCACUCUGGGCGGCUUCCAACAGAAUAUUAAAAUACAAUAACCUAUUAAACAUUAAAAGCUUCCCUAAGCAGGGCUGCCUUCAGAUGUCUUCUAAAAGUCUGGUUGUUGUUUUUCUCUUUGACAUCUGGUGGGAGGGCGUUCUACAGGGCGGGUGCCACUACUGAGAAGGCCCUCUGCCUGGUUCCCUGUAACUUGGCUUCUCGCAGCAAGGGAACCACCAGAAGGCCCUUGGCACUGGACCUUGUCAGAACGAUGGGGGUGGAGAUGCUCCUUCAGGUAUACUGGACCGAGGCCGUUUAGGGCUUUAAAGGUCAGCACCAACACUUUGAAUUGUGCUUGGAAAUGUCCUGGGAGCCAGUGUAGGUCUUUCAAGACGGUGUUAUAUGGUCUCGGCGGCUGCUCCCAGUGACCAGUCUAGCUGCCACAUUCUAGAUUAGUUGUGGUUUCCGGGUCACCUUCAAAGGUAGCCCCACAUAGAGUGCAUUGCAGUAGUCCAAGUGAGAGAUAACUAGAGCAUGCACCACUCUGGCAAGACAGUCCGCGGGCAGAUAGGGUCUCAGCCUGCGUUCCAGAUGGAGCUGGUAGACAGCUGCCCUGGACACAGAAUUGACCUGAGCCUCCAUGGACAGCUGUGAGUCCAGAAUGACUCCCAGGCCGUGCACCUGGCAAGACCACUGAUAAAAGAGUACCUAUGAAGGAUGCCUUGCUGUUUAUUUAUUGAAUGAAUUCUGCUGCAGUAGUACAGGACCUCUGGGUCAAAACCCAAAACCCCGACUGUCUCAGGAGACAAUGGAGGAGUGAUGCCUUUGGGAGGGUUGGAAGGUUGCAGUGCCUGCUGUGGCUGUAGGGAACCAAUGCAAGAGAGACCUGUUUUGUUGCAGCUGGGGCAGAUGAAGGUGUCCGGUUGCGUUGCUGCAGAUGCGCCAUGCCAUUUCUUUUUUUUUUUUUUUAAAGCAAUUUAUUGGGUUUUACAAUAAAUAUAAACAUAAUAAACAAUGUAACAUUUGUCAUAACAUAGUUUCACAUUUUCUUUGGACUUCCUCACAUCCCCCGCUCCCACUUUCAUCGUUAUAACAUUUUGUCAGCAAUUUAUCAUCUUAUUUAAAUUCUUAUAUCUCUUCAAUGUUUCAUAAUCUUAUAGUUCUCAUAAAGAGUUAAACUUUCACAGUCUUACUUGUUUUCUUAAAAACUUCUAAGUUAAGUGGUGCUCAGUUAUUUAGUCUAGCAUCUUAUUUAGCAUUCACUCAAAUCCCAAUAUUUUUGUAGAUAGUUCUUAAAUUUCUUCCAAUCCUCCUCGAUUCUCUCUUCUCCCAGGUCACGGAUUCUGCCGGUCAUUUCAGCCAGUUCCAUGUAGUCUAUCAGUUGCAUCUGCCAUUCUUCCAGUGUGGGUAAAUCUUGAGUUUUCCAAUGUUUUGCAAGAAGUAUCCUUGCUGCUGUUGUUGCAUACAUAAAAAUGUCUGGUCCUUCUUUGCCACCCCUUGGCUGACAAUGCCCAGAAGGAAAGCCUCUGGUUUCUUGGUAAAGGUAUAUUUAAAUACCUUUUUCAAUUCAUUAUAAAUCAUUUCCCAGAACGCCUUCACUUUAGGGCAGGUCCACCAGAGGUGGAAGAACGUUCCCUCGCACUCUUUACAUUUCCAACACUUAUUAUCAGACAGGUGGUAAAUUUUUGCAAGUUUAACUGGGGUCAUAUACCAUCUAUAAAUCAUUUUCAUUACAUUUUCUUUCAGAGCGUUACAUGCAGUAAAUUUCAAUCCAUUACUCCACAACUUUUCCCAGUCCUCAAACAUAAUAUUAUACCCAAUGUCCUGUGCCCACCUUAUCAUAGCCGAUUUAACCAUUUCAUCUUGUGUAUUCCAUUCCAACAGCAAGUUAUACAUCCUUGAAAGUACCUUAGUCUUUGGUUCUAACAAUUCUGUUUCUAAUUUCGAUUUCUCCACCUGGAACCCUAGUUUCUUAUCAUUUUUAAAAACUUCUUUAAUCUGAGCGUAAUGUAACCAAUCUCGCACUUUGUCUUUCAUUUUCUCCAAACUCUGCAAUUUCCAAUUGUCUCCAUCUUUUCUAGUAUUUCCCAAUAUUUUGGCCAUUUAGCCUCCAUAUUGGGUCUUUUCGGGCCUUAGCUUCCAAAGGUGAAAGCCACCUUGGUGUUUUAUUUUCCAGCAAGUCUUUAUAUUUUGUCCAGACAUUAUACAGUGAUUUUCUGACAAUAUGGUUCUUAAAGGCCUUAUUUGCUUUAACUUUGUCAUACCAUAGAUAUGCAUGCCAUCCAAAAACAUUAUUAAACCCUUCCAAGUCCAACACAUCAGUGUCUUCAAGAAGUAGCCAGUCUUUUAGCCAGCAGAACGCUGCGGCUUCAUAAUACAACUUUAAGUCCGGCAGGGCAAAGCCCCUCUUUGUUUUACAUCAGUUAAUAUCUUAAACUUGAUUCUGGGCUUUUGCCCUGCCAGACAAACUUCAAAUAUCUCUCUGCCACUUCUGAAAGCACUCCGUUUUGUCCAAAACUUGAAGUGUUUGAAAUAAAAACAACAUCCUUGGCAAUACAUUCAUCUUAAUAGCAGCAAUUCGGCCUAACAAAGAAAGUUUCAAUUUUGACCAACUGUCUAAGUCUCUCUUAAUUUCUGCCCAACAUUUUUCAUAGUUAUCCUUAAAUAGACUUAGAUUUUUUGCUGUUAUGUUUACCCCUAGGUAUUUUACUUUUUAACCACAUUAAGUUCCGUCUCAUUCUGAAACCGUUCUGACUCUGUAUCAGUCAAAUUUUUCCCCAAAACCUUAGUUUUCUGUUUAUUUAAUUUAAAUCCCGCCACCCGACCAAAAUCAUUAAUCAAUUGUAAUACUCUUUUCGUACUGGGCUCUGGCUUCUGCAAGGUCAAAACCAGGUCAUCUGCAAAAGCUUUUAGUUUAUAUUGUUUCUGACCAACCUGAAUUCCUUCCACCAACCGGUCCCCUCUAAUCAUGUUCAGUAGCACUUCCAGAACCGAAAUAAAUAACAAAGGGGAAAUAGGGCAACCUUGUCGUGUCCCUUUUUCAAUUUUAAACUCUUCUGUGACCACAUUAUUAACUAUCAGUUUAGCUUUCUGUUCUGAAUAUAUCGCCUCAAUCCCAUUCUCAAAACCCCGUCCCACUCCCAUCUCUUUUAAAUUUCCCAUCAUAAAUUUCCAGGAAAUAUUGUCAAAGGCCUUCUCCGCAUCUAUGAAAAUUAAAACUGCUUUUGUGUUUAUAUCUGUUUGCAGAAGUUCCAAAAUGUCAAUAAUGUUCCUUGUGUUAGCAAACAGAUGUCUACCUGGGAGAAAACCGGCCUGGUCCUUAUGAAUUACUUCAUUUAAUACUUUUUUAAAUCUACUUGCCAAAAUAUCUGCAAAUAUUUUGUAAUCCACAUUUAAAAGAGAGAUGGGACGGUAGUUCUUCAGUUGUGUCUUUUCAGCUUCUGACUUUGGUAUUAAUGUGAUGAACGCUUCCUUCCACGAAUCCGGUGCCCUCUCCCCUCAAUAAUUUCAUUGCUGACCUCCAUCAAGGGUUGUAUCAAAUAGUCUUUUAAUAUCUUAUAAUACUUGGAGGUCAGCCCAUCUGGCCCUGGAGAUUUGCCAAGUUGCAUGUUCUGAAUAGCUUGUUCAAUCUCCUGUCGUGUAAUUUUAGAGUUCAGGAUUGUCCUGUUUUCUUGUGACAAUUUAGAUAGUACAUUUUUUGCCAAAAAUUGUUUAAUCUCAACUUCGUCUUGCGGCCCUUGGGUGUAUAAUUUUUUAAAAUAUCUCUGGAAACACUUUCUAAUAUCCACUGGAUUCUGAAUGUUUUUUCCAUCAACCUCUAAGUUUGUAACCGUGUUUAAUCUUUGUCUUCUCUUCAACUGCCAAGCUAGCAGUUUUCCACAUUUAUUCGCCGACUCAAACGUUUUUUGUUUCAUUAAUUUAACCUUCCAUUCAAUUUCCUGAUUUAUCAGUUUAGAAUAUUGUGUUUGAUAGAGUUUAAUUUCUCUCAGAGUUGGCUGUGACUUUGGGUUCGCUCUUAAUUUCUUCUCUAAUUCUUUUAAUUUGUCCAAAAUCUUAUCUUUUUUCUCAUUUUGUGUUCUUUUCUUUACUACAUUCUGCUGUAUCAAGAAUCCCCUCAUUACAGCUUUGCUUGCGUCCCAGACAAUUCUUUUUUCCACCGAAUUGUUCAUGUUUAUCUCAAAAUAGUCCUUCAAAACUUUUUGGGCCUUCUUGGUAAUUUCCUGAUCUCUAAACAAAUUGUCAUUCAUCUUCCAUCUAAAGGAUCCAGUUGGUAGUAGUGUCAUAUCCAUCUUUACUGCAUUAUGGUCAGAACAGGUCUUUGGGCAGAUUUCCACUUUUCUGACCUUAGGUGCCAGGCCUCUGGAAAUCCAUAUUUGGUCGAUUCUUGUCCAGGUCAGUUGGGCUUCAGAAAAGAAUGUUCCUUCUCUACCUAGUGGGUUCUUUGUCCUCCAAAUGUCAAUCAAAUCCAUAUUGUCAGUCAUUUCAAAAAAGUUUUAGGUAGUCUGCCGUCUUUUGUAACAUUUUGACUUUGUGACUUGUCCAUGUUAGUUGACACGACCCCGUUCAUGUCUCCCAUCAUUAUGAUGUUGUUGUAAUCCAGAUAUUCCAGCAUUGUCCCCUGCAGCUUCUUGUAAAAUUCCGAUUUCCCUUCGUUAGGUGCAUAGAUUCCUAAUAUCAACAGUUUCUCUCCUUGAUAUUGUAUCUCAAUGGCCAAAAUUCUUCCAUGUUCAUCUUUAAAUAAGAAUUUAGGUGACAGGCUCUCUUUUGCAUAUAUCACCACGCCUCUCUUCUUAACUUUGUCCGACGAAACAAAUUCCUGGCCCAAUCUUUUAUUUAUUAACACUUUUCUGUGGAGCCUCGUCACAUGUGUUUCUUGUAAACAGAUAAUGUCCAAUUGUUCUUUUUUAAUAUAUGAAAUAUUUUCUUCCUUUUUCCGGAAUGUUACAACCAUUAAUGUUCCAACUCAGCAAUUGCAGAGACAUCCUGGAUCUAUCUGGUUAUUUCUCCAGGGGUGGUGUCUUCUCUCGAUCUUCAGGUUCCCCAGGUGCUGGUGUUGAUACUGGCUUUGCCCCAGGCCCAGAGGGUAAUUCAAUUCCUUUUUGAAGGUCCUCUCCGUAUGUAGCCAAAAAUUUGUCUCUCUCUUCCAGUGUUCUAACUUUGACCUUUCUCCCUUUAAAGGUAAAAGAUAUUCCUUGUGGAAAUUCCCACCUGAAUGGAAUUGCGUUGCUCCUUAGUAGUUUAGCAAGUUCAGAAUAAGCGGCUCUAAGAUCCAGCAGUUGUCUUGGAAUAUCUUUAUAAAUUUCAAUUCUUCUGUCCAAAACCUCCAGUGACUUUCCGUAAUGUAGGCCCAAAAUCUUAUCCCUUUCCUCCUUUGAUCUCAAUGUAAUCAAACAGUCUCUGGGCCUCUCCUUCUUUGUGAAUCUUCCAAGUCUGAAAGCCGACACAAUUUUAAAAUCCUUUUCUUCCAAAUUCCAGAACUUGGAAAAUUCUUUGGUCAAAAACUCAGUUAAAUUUCCUUCUUCUGCCUCUUGUAAUGAUCUAAUCCUCAGAUUAUUCUCACGAUUUCGCAGUUCUAUCAUGGAAAGAUAAGUCUGAUGUUCCCCAACUUGUUUGGUGAGUGGUCUUACCUCUUGCUCUAAAUUUUCCAAUUUUUGUCUAGUAUCCUCAGCUAAUUUCCGAUUUUCUGCUGAGGCCUCCGUUAACUGUCCAAUUGCUUGUGUAUUCUGUACAACUUGUAUGGUUAAUUUAUUUAGACAUUCUGUAUUUUUGUCAAUCUUUGCUGAUUGCGCAUCUACUUUCUUGUCCAAAGCUUCCAAUUUUUCAAAGAUUUUGUCUAGAACAGAAACAGAUACUCCUGAGGCCAUAUCUUCCAAUUGCAACUGCUCUGCUUCACCCUCUCCCUCUUUUGCCUGUGGCAAGGCAACUUCUUCAAGUUCUACUUCUGAGGGCAAAGUAGGUACAGAUGAUCUACGUGUCUGCGAGGCUGAGGUUAGAGUUGUUAAAGUUGUUUGUCUAACUCUCCUCUUUUCCUUGUGCCACUCAUUCCAACGUUGUCUAUCAGUCAAGGUCACACUGAGUUUUUCCCAUGGGAAUAGAAAGGCCCAGAGCAAGCAAACAACAAGGGAAUCGAAAGUAAAUGUAAAUGUAAAGUCACUGUUCUCAUCCAAUCCUCUAGAGGGAGCUUAAAAUGUCUUUCAGAGUCUAAUUUAAUGUCCAAGAGCCUUCAAAUAUAAAUAUUUAGCAGAGUUUAUAAGUAGUCACUUUGUUACAGACAGUGCUUAUUUAUCUCCAAAAGAAAAAAAUUGUUUCAAAUUUAAAAAGUCUCAAUACCCUCAGAUUGUUGCAAGUUCCAAUAUACAGUAUCCAAAUCUGCAAUACUGACAGCUCAAUUUCUCAAUGCUCAGGCAGCUCCUGACUCUGGGUUUCACCUUCUAAUUUGUAAUCCAAUAAAAGGGGGAAAGUCAAGUGCAAGUUAAAAUUCCAAGUCUUUAGCUUAAAGUCUUUACUUUAAAUUGCAGGUUCAGUAGAUGCUUAGAUCUGUAAAGUUUAAAAUCUCUUUCUUUCAGCCUCCACUCCUCCAACUUAGUUGCUUUUUUCAAGUUCAAUGGCUGCGGAAGACGGACUUCCUGUUUCCACGUCUCUCCGCUUUCAGCCAAGUUCAAGCCAAUUUAAGAUUUUUUCAUAUAAAGUCUCUGAUUUCAAGUGAUUCAGUCUUUACUCACGAGUGAGUUGCUUUUCGUCCGAAUCCGUGUUUUAGCAGGAAAAAGGAUCAGCGCUCACCGGCAGCAGCAGCGCGGCUUCACUCCGCAGACUGUGAAGCAGCUCUCAGCGCCGCAACCCCCCUCCACGCUCCGGAGCCCCUUACGAGGUUCCUUCUGCGUUUGGAGGGUCACUUAAGGCGCCCACCGAGCCUCAGGACCCCAAGCUCUUACUGCCUGGGGUUUUCCGGAGUGGGUCUCCGCUUCGCCGUAGCGGACGACCCGUUUUCUGCGGAGCCUCCUCUCCCGUUCAGAAGAGGACCGCCAUUGCCGUUCGCGCCGCCCCUCGGAAGUCCUCGCGCCAUGCCAUUUCUUCUCUCUGCGUUCCUCCCAGUGGUAAUUCAUCCUCUCAUCACUCAACUGACAGAUCAGUUGUAAAUGUGGACUCAAAGUCAGGUCCUUGUGUUUGGGGCGGGCGUUCAUUUUGGAGUUUGGGCAGCUUGCGGUAUGUGUGAGGAGGUUGUAAGGAGGAGGCUGGUAUGACACAGUUUCUGAAUUUUCAAAUUGGGCCAGGGAGGGGGAGCUAUUUUGAGAUAUAGAUAGAUAAAGGUAAAGGGACCCCUGACCAUUAGGUCCAGUCGUGACCGACUCUGGGGUUGUGGUGCUCGUCUCGCUUUAUUGGCUGAGGGAGCCAACGUACAGCUUCCGGGUCAUGUGGCCAGCAUGACUAAGCCACUUCUGGCGAACCAGAGCAGCACACAGAAACGCUGUUUACCUUCCCGCCGGAGUGGUACCUAUUUAUCUACUUGCACUUUGACAUGCUUUUGAACUGCUAGGUUGGCAGGAGAAGGGACCAAGCAACGGGAGCUCACCCCAUCACGGGGAUUCGAACCGCUGACCUUCUGAUCGGCAAGUACCAUUUGGAUUUGUGUCAUGUGUGCUAGGAAUUCGUGGAAAGGCAAAUCUGUGGUGAAUGUUAAAUGCAAGCUUGUGCAUUUAAAAAGCACUAGGCAGCUUUCCUAUGAUCCUGUGGCUUAAAAUAGUGCCGACUGCUUGAAGGAUUGUUGCUGGGCUCUAUAAAAGAGACAAAUAAUCACAAUGGAAUUGAUUUGUGAACUACGGUCUGGUAUAGUGGCUAAAUGCUCUAAGAAGAAAGAGAUAAAAGAGAGGAAGAAAGGGGGCUUUUAUGGGGACAUCUGCUUUUUGCAUUUUUAAGAUUCAAAGCACAAAUACAGGCAUGCCAUUGAAAUGAGUACUGUACAUACUAAUUCAGCUUACAGUCCUGUUGUAAAAAGUGAAUCGCUUCAAGUUCAGAUGCAGCGUAGCUCUAUGUAUCAGAGUGUACCAGUGUGGUGUAGUACCAGUGUGGUGUAGUGGUUAAGAGCGGUAGAUUCGUAAUCUGGUGAACCAGGUUUGCGUCCCCACUCCUCCACAUGCAGCUGCUGGGUGACCUUGGGCUAGUCACACUUCUCUGAAGUCUCUCAGCCCCACUCACCUCACAGAGUGUUUGUUGUGGGGGAGGAAGGGAAAGGAGAUUGCUAGCCGCUUUGAGACUCCUUCGGGUAGUGAUAAAGCAGGAUAUCAAAUCCAAACUACUCUUCUUCUUCUUCUUCUUCUUCUUCUUCUUCUUCUUCUUCUCUGUGCACCAGGUGGGGCAAACAACAGACACAGGAUGGAAUAUUGGUGGCCCUCCAUAAGUUGCUGGACUACAGCUCCUAUCAUUCAUUACUGCUGGCCAUGGUGGCUGAGGCUGAUGGGAGAUGGAAUGUCAUGAGUUCCCCACCUGGAGGCUCACCUGUUCCCUUAUCCCUCAAUUUCCCCCAGAGGAAAGUAGGCUUUUCCAAAUCUUCAAGACUUUGUUUUGUAAUGGAGCAAUAUCAAAAGUCAACACAUGUUCAGUGCUGUUUCUUGCACAUCCAUUCCUAAUUCUCCCUUUCAAAUGGCUAUUGAUUGUGCACCCCCAGGGACACGGGUGGCGCUGUGGGCUAAACCACAGUAUGGGGACUGAUAUGUAAAUCUGGGGACCGUCCCCAGGAAACAGGGACGCCUGGUAACCUUAAACCAGAGGCACCACUGUAAUAAACCAGCAUUGGAUAGGGUUGCCAAAAAGUGUAAAAGCAGGACAUCUCAAAAGUUGUUGAGCUUGCAUAAGAUCCAGGACAAAGCGCCACCUUUCGGAAAUCCCCCCCCCCCCGGACAUGAAUUCCGCCUUUGAAAUCCCGGUAAUGUUCAGGAAAAUCCAGACGUAUGGCAGCCCUAUUGUUUACAGGUUUAGGACAUAGGAAGCUAGCCUUUCAGUGCUUCUCAAACUUGGUCUCCAGCUGUUGUUGGACUACAACUCCCAUCAUCCUUCACUAGCAAGACCAGUGGUCAGGGGUGAUGGGAGUUGUAGUCCAACAGCAGCUGGAGACCCAAGUUUGACAAACACUGUAAUUAGUCUACCCAGCCCAGUAUUCUUAACACUUCCUGCAGCGGGGUCAUAAAUUCAGAUUAGGUUGUUGGUUGUAUACCUUCAAAUCUUGCGGAAAGUACUUUUCAACCUUCUCCUCUCGCCUUCACCUUAGAGGUGGCAAAUGAUCCUUUCAUAUAUUUAGCGCAGAUUUCUUUCUCCGUUAUCUGACCGUUGCAGCGAGGAAAUGGCAUGCCUCUUGUUACGGUAGUGGCUGCGAGCUGUCAUAAAAUGGCACGCUAAUUAUUCUGACGCCUGUACUGGAGCACCUCUGCAAAUGAGUUCCACCUUACAGGCCCUUCCAGCAUUGCCUUGACCUAUCGCUUUCAAAUUAACUAUCCAUAUUCCUCGUUCUCAGUUCCCAGAUUGCCCGCACGCAUUACAUCACCCCGAGUCCAGUUACAAUCGGAUGCCAGAACUGCAGCUGGGAAACACCAAAGGUGGGGAUUGCAGAAUAAGCCAACGCCUCAACGUUAGGCUUUGACCAGAUUUUAAGAUAACAUACACCGCCUCAAACAGGGCAAUGGCUCCCUGUUUAUUUCCCUCUUGCAGACGGCGCUUUGAACACCCAGAGGCCGGCAGCCUCAUCAGCGCCAAGUGGUCAAUGAUUUAUUAAAAGCUGAGCUGCAGCAUAAUUGUGCUCACCAUGUGGCUAAUAAGCAGCCGCUUGGAAAGAAAGCUGGAGGGGGGGACGGAUGGACCAGGGACUUUUCUUGGGAUAGUUUCAAUGCAGCCAUCGGCGUGUUUCAAUGCAGCCAAAGCAGGCACACACACACACACACACUCUUAAUGGGUUGAAGUGUGCCUUGAAUGUUAAACAGACAGGAACCUGGCACCUUCUGAGUCGGUAUAAUUUCAUGGGGCAGAAGAAGAAUAUAUUAAUGCUAAAAUAGCUAUGUGUGAGUGAGAGAGAAAGGAGAGAGAGAGAGAAAGUACUUUUAAUAUUAUAAUUUGGAAGGCCUUUGAGUGCACCAUUUGCAAAUCUGACAUAGACCAGAAAUGGAGUGGCUUUUCCAUUCUUGUCACGGAGCUCAACAGUCAGAGCCAGAUCAUCAUAAUAGUAGUAAUAAUAAUAAUAAGUAGUAAUAAUAUUAAUUAAUUAAUUAAUUAUACCCCACUCAUCUUGGCUGGGUUUCCCCAGCCACUCUGAGCGGCUUCCAAGGGAAUAUUAAAAACGCGAUAAAACAUCAAACAUUAAAAACUUCCCUAAGCAGGGCUGCCUUCAGAUGCCUUCUAAAAGUCAGAUAGUUGUUUAUUUCCUUGACAUCUGGUGGGAGGGUGUUCCACUGGGAGGGCGCCACUACCAAGAAGGCCCUCUUCCUGGUUCCCUGUAACCUCACUUCUCGCAGGGAGGGAACCGCCAGAAGGUCCUCGGAGCUGGACCUCAGUGUCUGGGCAGAACGAUGGGGGUGAAGACGUUCCUUCAGGUAUAUUGAGCCGAGGCCGUUUAGGGCUUUAAAGGUCAGCACCGACACUUUGAAUUGUGCUCGGAAGCAUCCUGGGAGCCAAUGUAGGUCUUUUGGGACCAGUGUUAUAUGGUCUUGGCAGCCACUCCCAGUCACCAGUCUAGCUUCCACAUUCUGGAUUUGUUGUAGUAGUUGUAGUAACUGCUGAGGUCUCCUCAAAGAUGGGUCCCCACAAAGCUAGAUGACCCAUCCACUUUAGUUCCACAUCUACUGUUUGGUUGCAAGGCCUGUUGCCCUGGGAACCAGGGUCAUGUGCAUAACUAAGUGACUGAUUCUCUGUAACAAAAAUUAGUUUAAAAUCCUGAACUAAUCUGUAAGGUGGGGGCUUUGGUUUUGUGUGUGUGUGAAAAUUAUUAUGUACUGGAAUUCCAUACGAAAUUUGUGGAUUUUUUAAUUUCUUGAAAUAAUACAACUAUCUCUAAUUAUUCCUGUUGCUCACAAUACGAAUCCUACUCACAAAUUCAUCGUAUUGUAACAGUUCUUUAAACAGCCUAAAAAAGCCUUUCAUUCGUCCAUAAAACAGUAGUUAUUAAAUUCUCUUAUUUCAGUUGUUAGCUUUGCUGAAUCAACAUUGUCCAUCACCUUGCUUAUCCUUUCUUUUUUAGUGAAUAGAGAAUCCUGGCUGCUGUAGUUCCAUACAUAAACAACUUAACCAUCUUUUUAGGAACUUUUGACCCUAUAAUCCCUAGAAGAAAAGCUUAAGGUGUUUGUGUGUGUGUAAUCACUUUAAGCCUUUUUUUAUCUCAUCAUAUAUCAUUUCCCAAAAUCCCCUUGCUUUCUUACAGUUCCACCACAUAAAAAAAGGACCACUUGUUUGUUUGCACUUCCAGCAGUUAUUAGGAACCUUCUUAUACAUUUUGGAUAAUUUAUCAGGUGUUCAAUAGCACCUACGCAGGGGUGGAAUCCUUUGUUUUCCCUCUUGUACAAUUUUUCCUGCAAAGGAAUAUUUGCAUGAUGAAGCUGCUUCAGUGAAAAUAUUCCCAAACCACCUGGAAUUAUCAGAGACACAAUUGUUCUAUCUCCUUGACUAGAAAUACCUGAGAUUUACUGAGCUGUCAUCUUGGAUGAGUCAUCUUGGAUCAAUCAUCUUGGGACAUUUUCAGGAAACCACUUCAGAACAAAGAGCACCAUGGAGAGAUUAUCUUUCGUUUAAUCUUUGUUUUGCAGGCGUUUGCUUGGCCCAGAGCUCAUUCUUCUGGCAGAAUCUGAAACCCAGGAAAGCAUGUGACUGAACAACAGGAAGGAACACCAUUUGAACAUAUUUAGCAAAAGCAAAAUCCCCCAUCGCCAAUUCUCCAUCUAUUUAUUAUGCUCCUUUCUAAUCAGCACAGAGAGGAAACAUGCAGAAUAUCCUGUGAUCACCUAUGCAUUAUAUGCUAAACAAUCUGCAAGAGGCAUUUUCCCACAAAUCUGGAAGGAUAUUUCAGCACAAGUGCACGUAGGGAAUAUAUUAAUCUUAGACUGCUGCAUUGCAGUACUAUAAAGAAACAUGGGAAGAAAUGAAAAGAGCCAGGAGGUCAGUAUAAGGAUGGAGGGCAGUGAUACAUAGCAGAGUUGCACCACUUUCCAGUUAUUCCCCUCUGUUGCAGAGUGAGGUGUGCUCCACAGCCUGACCUGGCUCACCUUAUUAUUAUUAUUAUUAUUAUUAUUAUUAUUAUUAUUAAUUUAUUAUUUGUACCCCGCCCAUCUGGCUGGGUUUCCCCAGCCACUCUGGGCGGCUUCCACAGAGACCAAAAAUACACUAAAAUGUCACACAUUAAAAACUUCCCUGAAUAGGGCUGCCUUAAGAUGUCUUCUGAAUGUCAGGUAGUUGUUUAUCUCUUUGACAUCUGGUGGGAGGGCGUUCCACAGGGCGGGCGCCACUACCGAGAAGGCCCUCUGUCUGGUUCCCUGUAACCUCACUUCUUGCAACGAGGGAACCGCCAGAAGGCCCUUGGCGCUGGAUCUCAGACGCUCCUUCAGGUAUACAGGACCGAGGCCAUUUAGGGCUUUAAAGGUCAACACUUUGAAUUGUGCUCGGAAACGUACUGGGAGCCAAUGCAGAUCUCUCAACUAACCUGCCACCCACAGGUGUUGAAGUUAGAUUCAGCUGCCAAUCCAUUUGGCUGAUUUACAAUGGAGACCCCCGGUGGCAGGCAGAGCAGGAUGGCUCACGCCCCCUCAAAAUCCUGCACCUAGGACUCUGGACACUGCACCCCCUGGGCCCCCCACACCAUGCCCCCGCCCUCACUCUCGACAGGGAAAAGGCUGUGUUUCUCUGUGAAGCACUUCAGAGAGGCCAGAUGGGUUCCUUCCGUCCAGAUUCAGUGAGUCCGAGGAACUGCAGCCAAGGUUAAAAAUAUGAAAAAGAUCGGAUCACCCCUAUUUAGAUUUCUGAGGGAAGCGAGCAAACUUUGCCUCGCUUAGGUCAGAUACUUCCUGAGCAAGCGCGAUUAAAUCAUCUGAGUAUUUGGCUGGCUUGGUGCUAUUAUACCUCUUGUGUCCCAGCUGCUGGGGAGCAGUCUCAGGGCAAGGCCUUUGCCUCUAUGUCCUGCUUGCGGGCUUUUCCAGGACAUCAGCUUAAUCACUGUGGGAAACAGGAUGCCAGACGUGGAUGGUCAUUUGGUCCGAUCAAGCUGGCUCUUAUUAUAUUUCAAAGGCCGCAGUGCUGAAAUCGCUCCCAAUAGUCUUGAAGAGGCACAAAUAGGGCUGCUUCGUGGGUCCUGUUUACUCCCUGGGAUGAACAUGAGGCUCUUAAUCUCAGGGGUGCAGGUUUGAACCCCACAUGCAUAGAAUCAUAGAAUUGUAGGGCUGGAAGGAGCCCCAACGGUUGUCUAGUUCAGCCUCCUGUGAUGCAGGAAUCUCAGCUAAAGCAUCCAUGACAGAUGGCCAUCCAACCUCUGCUUCAAAACCUCCAAGGAAGGAGAGUCCACAACCUCCUGAGGGAGACCACUCCACUGUUGAACAGCUCUUACCAUCAGAAAGUUCUUCCUCAUGUUUAGUUGGAAUCUCCUUUCUUGCAACUUGAAGCCAUUGGUCCGAGCCCUAGCCUCCAGAGCAGGAGAAAACAAGCUUGUUCUCUCUUCCAUGUGACAGCCCUUGAGAUGUUUGAAGAUGGCUACCAUAUCUCCUCUUAGCCUCCUCUUCACCAACAUACCUAUUUCCCUCAACCAUUCCACAUAAGGCUUUCCAGACCCUUGAUCAUCUUGUUCACACUUUCCAGAGCCUUGAUCAUCUUGAUGUUCCGGCUUGUCAAUAUCCUUCUUAAAUGGUGGUACCCAGAACUGAACAUUGUAUUCCAGGUGGAGACUGGCCAAGGCAGAACAGAGCAGGACUAUCACUUCCCUUGAUCGAGACACUAUACUUCUAUUGAUGCAGCCUAGAAUAAAAUUAGCUUCUUUUUUGCCGUAGGACGGGUACAAAAAUCUACAUAUCCAACCUCUUGCACAAGGCUUUGUAAAAAUGUUUGCAGAAAAGUACUUUCCAUGUAACAGCCCUUGAGAUAUUUGAAGAUGGCUAUCAUAUCUCUCCUCGGUCUUCUCUUUUCCGAGCUAAACCUACUCACCUUGGGCAAAAGAUUCCUGCAUUGCAAGCGGCUGGACUAGAUGCCCAUGGAGUCCAUUCCAACUAUGAUUCUAGAUGAGAACUGGGUUGUAGGUGUAUAUGCAACUUCAAGCAAGUUCAUUUAAAUGGUUGUGGACUGCUAACUUUUAGUAUUUGUAACGUGGGCUUAUUCGGAGCCCGUUCAUUUAGCAAGAGACGCAAAUCUUGGGAUGCUUGACUGACUCUCUCUUGACAUCAAACUCAUCUGUGAAAGCAGUACUUGCAUUAUGCUAACGGCAUGCCACAACAAAUAUGCCAAUCAGUCAUAGCUCCCAAGCUCAUUAUCCACAUUCAUUGUGGCUCGCAGAUCGCAGCUGUUGCCCAACCUUGCCCUAAAUGACACGUUCCCAACCAAAUCCAUCGUUGGUGGUUACUGCUUUCUGCAGCCAUUCAGAUGUGAUAGCCCUUCCCAAUCGCAGAGGACGACUGACAAAAGGCAUUUGGCGACAAGUGGCAGCUUUUCUGUUCUGAAUGUGCAGAUUUCCAGUUUAUUUGCAGAACUGGAGCUUCACUUUGGAGACUUGAGAUUGCGUUUUUUAAAAGUUAGACAGAAGGGGCACUUCUGCAAUUCCCAACGGGCCUUUUGCCAGCUCCUCAAAUUUGUUAGUCCCAGGAGAAGCUUUGGAAUGGAAGCUCAUCCAAAACAACAACAACAAUGGGGGAAAGUUGUGUAGGAAUCUUGCGCAUCAUUUCUAACCAUAAAUAACGUUUCAUUUCAUUUUAGCAGCAUGACAAAGCAAGGAGGUAAUGAGCCAUUAUGGAAACCCCAUCUGUUGCUCAUCAAGGGAUAGGCUUUCUGCUAGUAGAUUUAUUUAGUGGGGUGGGGGAAAGCAAUACUGGCCCUCUUCUUGUUAAUGAGACAUGGGCAUCUCAUUGCCCAAGCUGAAAAUAUAUCCUCCUAUAUCGCUUCACUGUCAGUCAACAUGCAGUACCAUGUGCUUUCACCAUAAGGCAAACAAAGACAGAGGCAUGCAGAAAAUUCAGGCUGAAAUGAGGGGGGGGGCUUAAAAGUGAAAGAAGUUGGCUCAGGGCCAAGCAGCAUGUUCCAGUAGCCACAGGGCUGCAUCCUCAUGUCAUGUUCAUUCUCCCUGGCUUAAUUAGCACUGUUUGAAACAAGAUGCAAACCAAAAUACAGCUAUCCUUUGAAAGCCGCACUUCGCUGAAUUUUGCAACGCAGUUCCUAGCCAAGAUUAUGUGCCCCCAAGUGCACGUACCAGUUUGCAUAAAAUGCAUAUAUUGGUGAAAAUGACACACAAGCAUGAAUUACGGUAGGGAAAAUUGCUAGAAAAAUUGUGCAUAUUCGUCGAGACUGUGUAAAAUUGUGCUAGGAAAAGAUCAAUCUGAAAUACUGAUGGCUUUUUCCGAGGGUUUUAAUUUUAUUUACAAAAUUCCCAAAUAGCUGUACAUAUGCUGAAUUUAUGAUUUGAAAAAUGAGAAAUGUAGAAAACUGACAAAUUUGCCAAUCCCCACUUGGCUCUCAAAGAAUUACAGACACUGGAAAGAAAGAUGGAUAUGUACAUCCCGUACCAUGACUAACAGCUUUAACAGAUCUAUGCUGUUGGGCGAAAAAAUUCCUUUAUCUAUCCAAGCAGGUCCGUUUACAAUGCCAACAGGUACAUAGUAAGAUUAUCACUUGACAAGCUUGGCUUUGUGGGCAAUUAAUCCAUUCAUUUACUAAGAAAAUUCUACUGGCAGUCAUUAAUCUUUGUUAUUUCACACGUUCAGAUUCAUCUUUUGAAUAUGCAGUGUCGGGGAAAGCUGCAUCUGUUAAAAUGUUUGCCUGUCGUGCAGCUGCUGAUGGCUCAAAGCCACUCUCAGAAAGAUGGCAUUCCUGCUGACAAGUGGGACCUGCAACAAAAUGUCAUACUGUGCAAUGCUUCUUCCCAGCCUGCCAGUCACAUCCUUUUUGCGGAUACUCCAUUUCAACCUCUCUGCCAUGUUGGGACUCCCAUAUACAGUAGUAAGGUAAAGGGACCCCUGACCAUUACAUCCAGUUGUGACCAACUCUAGGGUUGCGGCGCUCAUCUUGCUUUACUGGCCGAGGGAGCCGGCGUACAGCUUCUGGGUCAUGUGGCCAGCCUGACUAAGGCGCUUCUGGCGAACCAGAGCAGCGCACGGAAACGCCGUUUACCUUCCCACCGGAGCGGUACCUAUUUAUCUACUUGCACUUUGACGUGCUUUCGAACUGCUAGGUUGGCAGGAGCAGGGACCGAUCAAUGGGAGCUCACCCCGUCGUGGGGAUUCGAACUGCUGACCUUCUGAUCGGCAAGUCCUAGGCUCUGUGGUUUAACCCACAGCGCCACCCGCGUCCCAUAUAUACAGUGGUACCUCGGGUUAAGUACUUAAUUUGUUCUGGAGGUCCAUUCUUAACCUGAAACUGUUCUUAAUCUGAGGUACCACUUUAGCUAAUUGGGCCUCUUGCUGCUGCCGCACUGCCAGAGCACAAUUUCUGUUCUCAUCCUGAAGCAAAGUUCUUAACCCGAGGUAAUAUUUCUGGGUUAGCGGAGUCUGUAACCUGAAGUGUAUGUAACCUGAGGUACCACUGUACCUGCUGAUAUCUUUUCCAUGUGCCUUUACCCCAUAAGGAUGAACUUUUGGAAACAGAGUUCACUUCUAGUAUAUAGCAGCCUUCACUGACCUGUUCUGGACUACAGUUGCCAUGUACUGGCUGGAGCUGAUGGCAGUUGUAAUCUCAGUCAUCUAGAAGGCACCUUGUUGGCGUUGGCUGCUACGUAGGAUAUCUUAGUACUGUACGACGUUGAUCACCAUUCAUUCGAUUACCAAAAUGGUACCCAAUGGCUGGGAAGUAAAGAAGAGCCGGUAGCUCAGAGAAGUCAUUCUUACCUGGAAAGACCAGUUUGCUCUUUGUCUUGCUUGCUUUGCUAUCUAUCAAGACUUAGCUCAGUUGGUAGAGCAUGAGACUCUUAAUCUCAUGGUUGUGGGCUCAAGCCCCACAUUGGGCAAAAGAUUCCUGCAUUGCAGGGGGUUGGACUAGAUGACCCUUGCGGUCCCUUCUAACUCUACAAUUCUAUGACGUGUGUAUGGAAGUUUGUGGCAUCCCCUAUAGGCAGACCACUUACAUGCUGGGAAAGCCUAUCCUGCUAUAAUGGGAAAUUGUGAAGAAAGCUUGUUCAUUGUCGUGUGUGUGUGUGUGUGUGUGUGUGUGUUUAUAUCUACAGUGGUACCUCAGAUUUUGAACAGCUUAGUUCACGAACAACUUGGAACCAGAAAGCUGCAAAACUGGAAGUAGGUGUUCCGGUUCUUGAACUUUUUUCUAGCUCCGUUUUGAGUCCCCCUGUGUUUCCUGUUGCGCUGCUCAUUUGCAGCCCCCCAUUGUAAUUCAAGCCUUCCGUUUCCGAUUGCGGUGCUCUUGGAGCUUAUAUUUGGUGCUUUUGUUUUUGCUAUUUAUUUUGCGUUUUUUGUUUUGAGGCUUUUUGAGUUAAUUUGUUUUGGAUCACAGUUCAGCUACUGAUUGGUUGAUUGACUGAUUGAUUGAUUGAUUGAUUGAUUGUGUGGCUGAGGAAAUGGAUAAAAGCCCCCCAUCCAAACAAUGACUAUCAUUAGUGCAGGCAAGAAUUUAUAUAUUUUUUAAAUUUUCAUCAUCUACAAUACUCUUUUAUUUAUGUCAUAGUACAGUACAUUGUUUAUUGCUUUCAUUUUAUGGAUCAAUGGUCUCAUUAGAUAGUAAAAUUCAUGUUAAAUUGCUGUUUUAGGGGUUGUUUUUAAAAGUCUGGAAUGGAUUAAUCCGUUUUGCAUUACUUUCUAUGGGAAAGCGUGCCUUGGUUUUGGAACGCUUUAGGUUUGGAACAGACUUCCAGAAUGGAUUAAGUUUGAGAACCAAGGUACCACUGUAUGUAUAUAUAUAAAUGAUGAUGAUGAUGAUGAUUAAUAUAAUAUAAAGCCCCAAUGUUCCUACACAAAACCUGUCCAUUUCCCUUGCUACUUGAUUCACCAGCUCCAAAACAGCUUUUAUUCGGGAGGACACCAGCUCAUCAAUUUCCUUCUGCCUCUCUCUGAUGGAGUUCAAUGGUUGCCUCCUCAGAGGCUUGCUGUGGGAACAGAGUUUUGAUCUUUGCGAGCCUUGAAAGCAACGUGAUCAAAUGGAUGAUUGAGGGGAUUUGACAGAUGUGCAGCUGUAUAUUGUGGCUCAUCUGCCCCCUGACUUCGUUGCUCAUCUGUUUCCCUUGUCUCUGAACACACAGAGAAAACAGGCGAAGGAGAUGAAAGUUGUGUUUCAAGGUGUUGCCAUUUACUAUCCAUGCAUGAAGUGGAGUAGCAGCAGAAACCAGAGCAUAAACACAAAACGGAAUUACUGUUUCCCUAUUGGGAAGAUUCCCCCUCCCUAUUUAACCAUCUAUCUCUUUUUUUUUUUUAAUGAUAUUUAUUAAAGUUUCAAAGAAUACAAAAACAAAAGAUAAAAAUACAAGACAAUACAAAAUACAGAAAAAAGAAUAAAGUUUUUAAGAUAUAACAAAAAAAAUGAAGAAUAAAAAGAAACAUACAAAAUAAAAAACAGUUAAAAACACGUUAAUUUUCCAUAACAUAUCUUCCUUACACUUAUUUCCCCGGACCUCCUCGUACCUCCCUUUUUUGUAUUCCAGUUCAGUUUGUUAGUUCAGCAAAUCCUUACCAUUAAGCUUUUACCCAUUUAUAAACCUGUUUUCGUAUCUCUUAAAGCAUUACAGCUGGAAACCACUUAGUUUCUAUCCAACAUCCUUCUAAAAUUCCUUAAUUUUACAAUAUUUCUGUAAAUAGUCUUUAAAUUUCUUCCAGUCUUCUUUCACCGACUCUUCUCCCUGGUCUCGGAUUCUGCCAGUCAUUUCUGCCAAUUCCAUAUAGUCCAUCAGCUUCAUCUGCCAUUCUUCCAGAGUGGGUAGAUCUUGUGUCUUCCAAUACUUUGCAAUGAGUAUUCUUGCUGCUGUUGUGGCAUACAUAAAAAAGGUUCUAUCCUUCUUUGGCACCAAUUGGCCGACUAUGCCCAGGAGAAAGGCCUCUGGUUUCUUCGAGAAGGUAUGUUUAAAUACCUUUUUCAGUUCAUUAUAUAUCAUUUCCCAGAAAGCCUUAAUCCUUGGGCACGUCCACCAAAGGUGAAAGAAUGUACCUUCAGUUUCUUUACAUUUCCAACAUUUAUUAUCGGGCAAAUGAUAAAUUUUUGCAAGCUUGACUGGGGUCAUGUACCACCUGUAUAUCAUUUUCAUAAUAUUCUCUCUUAAAGCAUUACAUGCCGUAAACUUCAUACCUGUGGUCCACAACUGUUCCCAGUCAGCAAACAUAAUGUUAUGUCCAAAAUCUUGUGCCCAUUUAAUCAUAGCAGAUUUCACCGUUUCAUCCUGAGUAUUCCAUUUCAACAGCAAGUUAUACAUCUUUGACAAAAUCUUAGUUUUGGGUUCUAACAGUUCUGUUUCUAAUUUUGAUUUUUCCACCUGGAAGCCAAUUUUCUUGUCCAAAUUGUAUGCCUCCAUUAUCUGAUAAUAAUGAAGCCAGUCUCGCACUUUAUUUUUUAGUUUCUCAAAACUCUGCAGUUUCAGUCUAUCUCCAUCUUGUUCCAAACCUAUUUAACCAUCUCACUUUGAAAUUGAGGAUCCAGCUUGCAGCGUCUUCAAAUGGCUCUGUUCUUCGCUGGUCCUGUGGCCUGUCUAGCCCAGAUUGCUGCAAAAAUCCUGCUGUGCUGUCUGGGGCCAAUGGCCUGGUUGUACUCCAAAAAUUUUGGAGGGCCCCAGAGUGGGAAAGGCUCCUCUCUUCCUGGUGCUACCCUGGGAGCAGGAGAGUUCUCCAGACCCUCAUACUCAAGAAAGAAAAAGGGUACAGUGGUACCUCGGGUUACAGACGCUUCAGGUUACAGACGCUUCAGGUUACAGACGCUUCAGGUUACAGACUCCGCUAACCUAGAAAUAGUACCUCGGGUUAAGAACUUUGCUUCAAGAUGAGAAGAGAAAUCUUGCUCCGGUGGGGCGAUGGCAGCAGGAGGCCCCAUUAGCAAAAGUGAUACCUCAGGUUAAGAACAGUUUCAGGUUAAGAACGGACCUCCAUUAAGUUCUUAACCUGAGGUACCACUGUACUUAAAUAUUCAGUCUCCAGUAUUACCGCCCUCAGACUUGGACUGUGGCAGUCUAGAUCACCACUAUUGUUGAAGGCAUCCCCCCAUUUUUUACUGUGAUUUUACUCUUGCCCUUCAUUCCAUACCCCGCAAGUGUCCCAGAAAAAGAAACGUUUCUUUCCUGCGAGAGUACGGCGGCCAUUUUGGGCACUGUGAUCUCGCAUAAAUUUGCGCUGAGACCCAGCCCUGAAAAAGUGCUUUUCUCUGGAUUGUGAGCUCAUGCUUUGCCACCAAGACAUGGGUUUUCAUGCAACAUGAGAGCAUGGCCCCGAAAGCAGCACAUAUUUUGGGCCCUGUGAUCUCACGUGGGUCACAUGACUCUCAUGGGAGCACGAACUGGAAGACGUGCAUCCCAGUUGGGAACUUAACCAUGUUGGAGUCAAGUCAACCAGUGUGUUCUCUGCUUUAUCCUCAGAAAAGUAUGCUUUGUGACUCAGUGGGGGGACACAUUGAACUCGGGCCUUUCUGGUCAAAGUCUAGGCCGGGUUCUCCUUCAUGGAGAGCACGUGUUGCGGUGGGAGCAACCAAGACAUCCCUCUGUUGGUGGGUGGGUUAGGAUAGAUGGCCAUGUUUCUGAUUGGGCACAUCUCAGUCGUUGGGGAGAAUUUGGUGUAGCAAUUUUAUGAGUGACUGAUGAGGAGCUAUUUAUUCCCUGUGUGCAGCAUUGAGCUUCCUCUUUUCGCUGCAUGCAUUAGAUCACCCGCCCACCCUCCCUAUAUUUAGGGCUGUUCGCAUUGACCUUGCUAUGUCUGUCAUGAGGUUGUCUGCUUUCGGGGCAGGGGCCUGGUAGGAAUUUUGCCAUUUGGCUGAUUGGCUGGUGCAAUUUGGUUUUUGCCUACCGCGUAGCAAAUCAUCACAACUUGUAAGGUUGUGGUUAAAGGUAAAGGGACCCCUGACCAUUAGGUCCAGUUGUGACCGACUCUGGGGUUGCGGCGCUCAACUCGCCUUAUUGGCCGAGGGAGCUGGUGUUUGUCCACAGACAGCUUCCGGGUCAUGUGGCCAGCAUGACUAAGCCACUUUUGGUGAACCAGAGCAGUGCACGGAAACACCAUUUACCUUACCUUCCGGAGCAGUACCUAUUUAUCUACUUGCACUGUGACGUGAUUUCAAACUGCUAGGUUGGCAGAAGCUGGGACCGAGCAACGGGAGCUCACCCCAUCACGGGGAUUCAAACUGCUGACCUUCUGAUCGGCACGUCCUAGGCUCUGUGGUUUAACCCACAGUGGUUAGGCAUUGGUUAAUUUUGGUUGGUAGGGUUAGGGUUAGGGUUAGGGGGGUAUGGUUGGAUGUGCCUGCCCCUCCAAUGCUGCUGCUGCAAGGAUAUUCCAUUAAGGGAAUCCAGGGACUCGCCAUGCUCUUGUCCAAACCCCUGUCAAGGGGCUUGGGUUACGCAAGAGCCCCUGGGAGUAUUUGGGGAGAGGUGAGAGCCUGGCGCCCAGUUCCAUUUUCUCCCCAAAAUGUUUUCCCUUACUGACUUUCGCAGGCUUGCAGAUGUCAGUUCUGUUCCUACCUCUAGGCUAGAACAGAUACUCACGAACCAAUGCAACCACUCACAUGCUGUAAUCAACAAAGCUGUGGCCAAAAAUUAUGCCAAAAACCUUUAAACAAAAUUCUGUGUGAAUUGUCUCUUUAUUUGAGGGUGGCUAUGGGGAGACCUCGACACGCAAAUGGCUGCAUCACUUUGGUUCUCUAUCGAGCCAACAGAUCCCACAUUUUCCCAUUCUGUUUUGGGUGGUUGCUUAACUUUUCCCAGGCUGAGAGAUUUUAAUAAGAGGCUAUUGGCACAUAACUAUGCAGCGGACCAUAGACCAAUUACCUUGUCCCCUCAGGAAGCACACCAGGAGCCCUCUUUAUCCGACACCCUGUUGUGCCUUGGUGCUUUUAAGUUGCAUCUGUAAAUUAAUUAAAAGCAAGGAAGCAUUGAGCUACUCUGGAGAGAAACAUCUUCAAUGACCUCGUCUGGAUCCUAUUGAUAUCACACAGUCCGAUGAAAUGGCAUACUAGAUUGCAUUUCAAUGGGAAUUUAUUGUGGAGGAAUUUCUGUGAGUGCCGCGAUCUGGGUCUUUUGUCAGGUUUCCCAUUUCGUUCCCCCCCUGAUGUAAUGAAGGAGACACUGAGAAAGUGGGUUUGAGGUGGCUACCGCACACAAGACAAGAUGACUAUUGGGCCUAAUUAAAUGGUGUUUAAUUAACUAUUAAUAAAAAAGUACCACUUCAUAUAAUUAAAACCUGUAAGCAAUUUGCAUAAAAAACAAUAAAAACACGACUUUCCCCCCUAAAAUACUUUUCCCCCUGAAAGCGAGUGUAAAAAGAAGAUAAAAACAAAAAUACAAUUAUUUAUCACAAAUAAAGCUGAGUGGUUUAAUGGCAUAUCUCACAUGACCCUUCAUGGUUAAAGCUGAAAAUGCUUCUGAAAAAACUCCCUUUUCAUUUCUUUGACUUUGGGGAUUGCAUCUUCCUCCAAAUGAAAUGCAGUUGAGCCCAAAGGUUGAUUGAAAUAGAUAGAUAGAUAGAUAGAUAGAUAGAUAGAUAGAUAGUAACUUGUCCCUAUUAGUAUACACUGAACAUUUGUUUGAGAGAAGAGAGCGAACCAAACCUGGAUAUUUUGGUUGUCGUCUGUCGCCUUGCAUCAUGUUAUGGUUUAGGAUUCUGUUCAUUUACUCUGCUCAUUGACCAGUGGUUAUGGGUUGUUGUGGAUGGUGUGAAUGGGUUUGUUGUGGAUGGUUUGAAUUUUAAUAUCCAGGAAGCGAAACAAAUUCGUUAUAAAUUCGUCCACAUGGCUGUCAAGGAAAAGACAACAACUCGAUGAAGAUAUCAGCAGGGAGCUAGCUAUCUGCUUCGCCAAUCCUUGGAGGUGGAUUAUCAUCUCACAAGCAUGAGCAUACCCAGAAUGAGGGAAGCAUUUUGGUAGGAAUAUUUCUUGACUGUUGGCUCAGUGCUGCCCGCUUCCCCUGUAUAUGUGCAAGUACAGUGGUACCCCGCAAGACGAACGCCUCGCAAGACGGAAAACCCGCUAGACGAAAGGGUUUUCCGUUUUGGAGGCGCUUCGCAAAACGAAUUUCCCUAUGGGCUUGCUUCGCAAGACGACAGCCCAUAGGGAAAUCUCAGGGACAGCGGGGAAGCGCAGCGCGUCUUCCCCACUGUCCUCGGACCUCCUCCGAAGCCCGGCGGCGGGGCGGGGACACCUCCUCCCGCCGCCGCCGGGCUCGGAAGGCUCCUCCGAGCCGGGCGGGGGAGGGAACACCUGCCGCCGCCGCCCGGCCCGGGCGGUGCUCCGAGCCGGGCGGGGGAGGGAAGACCUCCGCCGCUGCCCGGCUCGGGCGGUGCUCCGAGCCGGGCGGUGGGGAGGAAGACCUCCCCGCCGCCCGGCUCGGGCGGUGCUCCGAGCCGGGCGGGGGGAGGGAACACCUGCCGCCGCCGCCCGGCUCGGGCGGUGCUCCGAGCCGGGCGGUGGGAGGGAAGACCUCCCCCGCCGCCCGGCUCGGAGCGGUGCUCCGAAGCCGGGCGGGGGGAGGGACACCUCCCGCCGCCGCCCGGCCCGGGCGGUGCUCCGAGCCGGGCGGGGAGGGAAGACCUCCGCCGCCGCCCGGCCGGAGCGGUGCUCCGAGCCGGGCGGGGAGGGAACACCUGCCGCCGCUGCCCGGCCCGGAGCGGUGCUCCGAGCCGGGCGGGGGAGGGAGACCUCCCGCCUCUGCCCGGCUCGGAGCGGUGCUCCGAGCCGGGCGGUGGGGAGGGAAGACCUCCCGCCUCUGCCCGGCUCGGACGGUGCUCCGAGCCGGGCGGGGGAGGGAAGACCUCCGCCGCCGCCCGGCCGGAGCGGUGCUCCGAGCCGGGCGGGGAGGGAACACCUCCGCCGCCGCCCGGCUCGGGACGGUGCUCCGAAGCCGGGCGGGGGAGGGAAGACCUCCCGCCGCCGCCCGGCUCGGAGCGGUGCUCCGAGCCGGGCGGGGGAGGGAAGACCUUCUGAAGGCGGGCGGGGGCGAAGUCUUUGCUCCCCCUGCCUGCCUGUCCCGGAGGGCUUUGAGGCGGGGGAGCAAAGACUUUCGCCCCCCGCCCGCCUUCAGAAGAGGUCCAAGUCCUCCGCUGUCCCGGGGUGAUUUUAAAAUGCCGCCCGCCAGCAUUUUAAGAUCGCCCGGACAGCGGAGAAGUCCUCCGCUGUCCCGGGGUUUUUUAAAAUGCUGGGGGUGGGAAGAAAAGCCCUUGCCCCCCAGCCUUCAGAAGAGGUCCGGGGACAGACAGUCCCCGGACCUGGUCUGAAGGCGGUUUCCCUAGGAACGCAUUAGUUGUUUUUAAAUGCAUUCCUAUGGGAAACCGUGCAUCGCAAGACGAAAAACUCGCAAGACGAAGAGACUUGCGGAACGAAUUAAUUUCGUCUUGCGAGGCACCACUGUACCUAUCUGACUUAAGGCCAGGCAGCAUUUUGAAGGUCCAGCAGUGACCUGAAUUGAAGCUGAGCGGCUGGGAGAUGCUAUUUUAAUACCGCACAGUCCCACUAAUGUAGUGCUGCUGUGGUGCAGCAAAAUUUUUAAAAGGCAGCUCGUGACAACUCUCAACAUUGUGCGUAUGGGUGUGUUUUUCAGCAUGGCAAACAAUUGUUCUUUGUUGUUUUAUCUUACAGAAAUUAUAUCUAAACCAUCCAAGUUUGAAACAGCUUCCGUGGAUGGAAACAAAUAACACUCGAGAUCAGUUGUACGCUUGCUUAAUUAUGAUGACUUCCAUCACAUCCUUUCAAUGGGCUGGAUCCAGACUAGGUUGGUUGCACAUCAUCCCCAGUGAAAUUCAUAAUGACCAACUUGUCUCAUUGAUUUCAUUGGGGCCUAAGUGCAACCAACUUAGUCUGGGGCCAGCCCAGUAUUGGGGGCACAUAAUGCACAUUACAUAUCUUCCCUGUCUCAAAACACCUGGAAACUUUGCCUAUAUUGUCGUACAUCUUGCCAACAGGGUACCUGUGACACUUAUUAAAAUGCUGUUAGAGUAUAGAGUUCAUGUGAGUUGAGUUAGCUUUAGUAGGAAUCGGUUCAGGAAGGCCAAUUGAUUCAGAUUACCGUGGGCAGCACACGAUGAGCUUUUACUUGUGCAACAAAUUCAUCAAGCAGGUUUAUGGGACUUUAUUACUGGGUCAGAACUAGUAGAGCAAUACAGUCAUACCUCAUGUUUCAUCCGCUUCAGGUUGCGUGUUUUCAUCUUGCGUCCCGAGGCAACCCGGAAGUACUGGAAUGGGUUACUUCCGGGUUUCGCCGCUUGCGCCUGCGCAGAAGCGCCAAAUUAUGCCGCGUGCCUGUUGAGUUGCUGGUGUUUCAUGUUACAGACAGGCCUCUGGAACGGAUCCAGUCUAUAACACGAGGUACGACUGUACAGAAGAGGGUAAAUGGACUGAGAGCAAUUUGAUAAAUGGCGCUCUAAUUAAGUCAGCUGACCCCAGUGCCUAGGUCAGGCUGGCCUGCCAUUGGUCAAAGUCUAUUUUGACGUUUGGUCUGAGGGAGCGCCGCUCAACAGUAUCUUGGAUGACAGAAAGUCACGCUUUCCCCAAAAGGAAACUGGUUUUGUGCUUCCAGAUAUGUGAAGUCAAAACAAAAAUAAUCACAGGAUUAAAUGGAUUGUAAUGGCUGAGUACUUUUAAGGGCUAAUAUUCUUUGGCACUCCUCCUUUGCCAUUUUUCCAUCUGGAGAUAAUUGUGUGAUAUCAUGCAGAAAGCCAAGACAUAAAUCAGCCUGGCUACUGAGCAACUCGAAGAACUUCAGUCGAAGCUCAUGAAUGUGAAAAAGUAGUGCUCCAUUUGCAACCAUAUGCCAACCAAGACAACAACAAGAAAAAGGAAAGGACAGUGGUUGAUGGGCAACUUCCUAGUUGUUUCAUAAGCAGCAAUAAUUAUGGCGAAAUUACUUUUGAAAAAAAGUAAACUCCUUUGGUUAUUUCUGCAAGCUAUUAAGUUCUCCUGUUCAGCCCACAUCUCCAAGUGUUGUCUUGAGGAUGCAGCGCUUACCCAUACAGUCAUACCUUGGAUCCCAAACACCUUGGUACUCAGACAUUUUGGCUCCCAAACACCGAAAACCCAGAAGUGAGUGUUUUGGUUUGUGAACGUUCUUUGGAACGUGAACCUGAACGUCCAAUGGGGCUUCCGCAGUUUCCGAUUGGCUGCAGGAGCUUCCAGAACGGACUUCCAGAACGGAUUCCGUUCGACUUCCAAAGUACGACUGUAUUUGGUUACUAAAGGUGGACAUCAUUGGAGACUUGCUAACUUUCAGAUUUCUCUGCCCUGAAGCAAUGGCUAUUGAUAGUCUAUGGGGUGUCUCCUUGAGAGCUGAUGGUCAGAGGCAAUGACUUCGCCAGUUAUGACUUACCCCUACGUGUAGGAUAAGAAUAAAACAGUUUGAGACAGCACUGCAGUCCUCUACGGUCUUACCUGGCAUAAGUCCCAUUGAACUCAACAGGGGUUUGGGCUCUGUGAACUUCUCAAGGUGGUUACUGUUUCCCUAGAGAUCUGAUGUGGGAGAGGUGGGUUUUGGUUGUCAAGGGCAAUCAAGCUAUGCUUGUUCAUAAAUUCAUGGAAAAUUAAGCUAUUAAUGGCGUCCAGAUAUGUACAACCUCCAAUGGUAGUUUGCCUCUGAAAACCAGUAGCACAUGGGGAGACUGCUGUUGUGCCCAGGUCUUGCUUGUGGGCUUCUCAUAGACAUCUGGCUAGCUACAGUGGGAACAGGAAGCCACAAUAGAUGGGCAUUGGUUCUGGUCCAGCAGAUGUCUUCUUAUGUUCAGCCACUUAGCAUGCAGCACAGAGGCACAGGUGAAUAAGAGCAUCAUAACAAUUGUAGAGCUGCUGUUCAAAACAUGGAAAGGGACCUAAGCGGAAACUUCAUCUUCUCUUGCUUUCUUGUAAAUCUUGAGUUCAUCCCUGGACUCGUUCUAUCCCACCUCUCUACACACCACCAGCCCUCUCCAGUUUCCUUAUAUAGCCGUGUGACUCACUUUAUAGCGAGCAGUCCUCUAUUUGAGGAAGUUCAGAAGGGCAAAGCCCAAUUUAAAUAACCAACGAAGGGAGAACAAUGGACUGGCAGCUGCCCCAUCAACAAUACAGUACCUGGCAUAGGAGCCAACUCCUAGGGGCCAAGGUCUCUUUGCCCUCCAUAAAAUAUUUGAGGGGGCCGGGGAGGGGCAAUGUUGAUAGGCGUUGCCAUUCAAAUGCUGUGUGUGCACCGUGUCUUGUGAUUGAUUAUGCAGAGAGGGGAUUGCCUGCCCCCCCAAUAAUUUAUUCAAGCUGGCACCCCUGGUACUUGGACAGCAGGCUGAGGAGCACACAUGUUACCUGGUCUCAGUCUUCCCCACUCUGUUGAGAUGGCUGUACUUCUUUCGUUUAGUCAUUUAGUUGUGCCCGACUCUUCGGGACCCCAUGGACCAAGCACGGCAGGCACUCCUGUCUUCCACGGUACUUCUUUUAGCCCAUAGUAAUUAUUGCAGUAAUUGAUGCUUUUGAAUUAUGGUGCUGGAGGAGACUCUUGAGAGUCCCAUGGACUGCAAGAAGAUCAAACCUAUCCAUUCUUAAGGAAAUCAGCCCUGAGUGCUCACUGGAAGGACAGAUCCUGAAGCUGAGGCUCCAAUACUUUGGCCACCUCAUAAGAAGAGAAGACUCCCUGGAAAAGACCCUGAUGUUGGGAAAGAUGGAGGGCACAAGGAGAAGGGGACGACAGAGGACGAGAUAGUUGGCUAGGGUUCUCAAAGCUACCAGCAUGAGUUGGACCAAAUUGCGGGAGGCAGUGGAAGACAGGAGUGCCUGGCGUGCUCUGGUCCAUGGGGUCACGAAGAGUCGGACACGACUAAACUACAACAAAUUAUUUAUACAUUAUCAGAACACAUAUCAAUUCUGCAUUAGUGCCCCCUAUCUUCUCUAAGUUUAAAGAGGUUUACUAGAAUUGCAAGGGGAAAAACCUAAAGGACCCCUGGAUGGUUAAGUCCAGUCAAAUUCGACUCUGGGGUGCACCGUUCAUCUUGCUUUUCAGGCCAAUAGAUCUGGCGUUUGUCCGCAGACAGCUUUCUGGGUCAUGUGGCCAGCAUGACUGAACCACUUCUGGUGCACAGAGCACCAUGAUGAAUGCCAGAGCGCACGCAAACACCGUUUACCUUCCCACCACCACAGUAUCUAUUUAUCUAUUUUUACUGGUAUGUUUUCGAACUCCUAGGUUGGCAGAAGCUGGGACAGAGCAAUGGAGGCUCACCCCGUUGCGCGGAUUCGAAUUGCUGACCUUACAAUCAGCAAGCCAAGCCCAAGAGGCUUAGUGGUUUAGACCACAGUGCCACCUGCAUCCCUUACGAUAAUUAUACCUGCAUCUGAUGCACAGCACAGCUUUGCUGCUGCCUCUCAAAAUUUCAAAAGACUUUCAGCACCCCAGAUUCUGCAGAAUGUGUAUUGCAAAGCCUUUGUCCUGGCGCAGUAUCUCUCCUGCCUAUCCCACAUGACUUCUUUCAUCCCAGAUGUUUCCUGACAAGAGUUUCAAAAGCAGGAUAAAUAGUUAGGGGUAGAUGGGAAUAUGAAAGUGGCUGAGCAGCUUCUUUGGGCUUGUCUCUUUAGAACUGACUUGAGGACUUCAUCGCAUCCAGGAUGACCAGCUUAAUCUUCCAUCCCCAAUGCUCCUAAAACUCAUCAUCAUUUCAUCAUCAUUUUUUAUCUGUAUGCCGCCUUUCCAUAGUUAGAACAAUGCUCAAGGCGGCUUCCAACGUGACAAGAUUUACAUAAUUACCAACAAAAGUCAUAAACAAUAAAGCACAUCAAAAUGUACACAACCCCUAAUAACCGCACCCCCAAGAAAGAAUCAUUGCAAUUACUGAUUACAAGCAGGAUAAUUAAGAACUGUGUGGAAAUAAAUUACUAAUCAAAGACAUGGCUUGUGGGAACAUCGGGAAAGGAAUGAAAGCUCUUUGUGACGCAGUUAAAAAGAGAUUUGUUACGGCAGGCCUGGCCACAGGAUGAUCGAGGGAGAGGAGGACGAUGGUUUGUUAUUAUAUCGGACUGUGAGUUUGACCUGGCAGGGCCCCCUGAGAAAAUUGAGAGACUGGCAGGCCUGUGGAAAUUAACGGACAGACUUUGGGAGUGUUUUGUACGGAGGUACGGAAAUGGCGUCUGUCUAUUUUGAUAUGGCUCUUGGAGGAGUGUAAAAUCCACACAGGAUAUAACAACAUUUGUUUUCAACCCACUUGUGGAGACUACCAGAGAUCACAAAGAAAGGAAUAUAUGAUAACAACAAGAAGAUGAGGAAAAUAACAAAGAGAAGAUUGAACAGAACUGUGAAUACUAUUUUGACAGAACUGUGUACAUUAAAGCAGCAGCAAGAGAGAUGUUUGGAUCCCUUUCUGAGCUCGAAGUAUGUGUACCCCCAACAAAAUUUAAAAAUUUGGCUGUGUAAUUUGGAAUUAAUGUGAUUUGGAAUUAAUGUGAUUUGAUUGGCCUGUUAAUAAAAAUUAUUUGGAAAAAAACACAAAAUGUACACAACCAAAUGGAUAACAAUUUCCACAUAAAUCAUAAAAUCUAAAAAAUACAACAUUAAUAGCAAUAACAAUUUAAAAUGACAUAGAUAAAAAAAUAAAAACAAUUUUAAAAAGGAGCCAUCUCUGUCCAGCAGCAGCAGCAGGCCCUGCCCCAAGCCAGGUGGAGAGAGGCAGGGCACGGCUCUCAGGCUCCCAGCAGGUCUGUGUUGGGUUUCUGUUUUGCAGACUGCUGAGGUUCUUGAUAAAAACAUCUGCCUUAUCAAAUGAGAAACUUUCAGUGGGAAGAUUUGGCUCAGCCCGACUUAAAAUCUAUCAUUAUUCUAGAUUUGUUAGCCAUUUGUUAUCUGACGGUCUCCAAGCAACCCAUCAUCAUUUGCACUUGUUAGUCACUUCUUACUUGAAGGUCUCUAAGCAACUCACAACACAUUAAAAACAUAAAUAUAAAUGCAUUAUACCAUCAAAACAAAACAAAACUAACCCUGCAACAGCCACAGGAAGCUCUGGCAGCAGCCUAGUAGCAAAACAACACCAGUCUAUUAAAAGCCUAGGAAAAUAGGUAAGUCCCUACCUGGAGCCAAAAAGAUGUCAACAAAUGUCACCAGGCAGACCUUGCUGGGACCUACCUCAGUGGUGAAGUCAAACACCUAUUUGUGGCUACUCAAGUCUUAUGAAUUCCAUUGCUUAUAGCUUAUCUGGUUAACUUUCUUUGUAGAUGGGAUAUAGCUAUAACCUAGACAAGCUUUAAAUGCAGCUGAGUUUAUAGUUAAAAGAUGGAAAAUGGAAAUAAAUGAAACAUGGAAAAGAGGAGAUAGAUGGUCCUCUUUAAAAUAUCUAAAGGUUUGUCGCAUGGAAUAUGGAGCAAGCUUGUUUUUCUCCUGCUCUGGAAGUAGGACUCGAACCAAUGGAGUCAAGUUACAAGAUAGGAGAUUCUGAAUAAACAUCGGGAAGAACUUUCGGACAGUAAGAGCUGUUCGACAGUGGAACAGACUCGCACAAGAAGUGGUGAGGUCUUCCUUGGAAGUUUUUAAACAGAGGUUGCAUGGCCAUCUGUCAUGGAUGCUUUAGAUGAGAUUCCUGCAUCUCAGGGGGUUGGACUAGAUGACUCGUGGGGUUUCUUCCAACUCUGAUUCUAUGAAUUGUUCCCGUAUAUGAUAAUGCUCACUUAAGUGUUGGAAAAUCGUAAUUUAAUGUUUGGUAUUUGUUAAAAUCAGCCAGGGCCCAGAUGAUCCUUCCAUUAGGCAGAGAGAGACAGAGAUAUUGCAGGGCAAGGCAUGGCAAUGACAUAUUGAUGGCAGGGAUAGGCAAGAAUUUUGGUUUAGUUUUGCAAUUCUCUAGGCAAACCAAAAUGCAGCUACCCCCUAGAAAUUUGUAUUUCUCCAAAUUUUUGUGAUGUAGUUUUCCAGCCAAAUGAUGGGUACAAAAAGCUAUACAUUAAGGUGCAUAGAAAUGCACAUAUUAACAAAAACCGCCAAGAAAGAUGCAUUGUAUUAUGCAGAACUGCUUGCAAAAAUGUGUACUUUAGGCAAAAUUGCAAUUAAAUAUGUGUACAGUGGUGCCUCGCAAGACGAAAAGAAUCCGUUCUGUGAGUCUCUUCGUCUAGCGGUUUUUUCGUCUUGCGAAGCAAGCCCAUUGACGGAUUAGCAGAUUAGCGCUAUUAGCGGCUUUUAGCGGCUUAUCGGCUUAUCGGAUAAGCGGCUUAUCGGCUUAGAAAAAGGGGGGGAGGGGAAAAAAACCGCAGGAACUCGCAAGACAUUUUCGUCUUGCGAAGCAAGCCCAUAGGAGAUUCGUUUUGCGAAGCACCUCCAAAACGGAAAACUCUUUCGUCUAGCAAGUUUUCCGUCUUGCGAGGCAUUCGUCUUGCGGGGCACCACUGUAUUGGGGAAACAUGCACUAAAAUGCAGAUGGAUUUUUGUGAAAUCAGAAAAAAUGCAAAUCCAUGUGAAAGUGUGGAGAACUGAGUUAAUUUCUGUCCCAUGUCCCUUAGAGUAAGUUGCCAUUUCCAAUUAGUUUUUGUUAAGUUUCUGCAUAUACCAUCAAAAGACAAUGUCAUCUUUUCUCUUAUUUUUAUCAGCUUCCUACCCCAUUUUCCAUGGAGUUGUUGCUUGUUCCUUUCCGCUGCCCCCUAUCUUCUAUCUAAUAAAUCAUAACCACAAUAUUAUAAUCUAAUUACUUCUGUUGCUCAUAGCUCAAAUCCUGCUCAUGAGUUCAUCUUACUAUAUGUCUUUAAACAGUCUGAAAAAUGCGCCCAGUUCUGCAUAGUAAGUUUUGCCAGUUCUGCAUAGUAUGUUUGGUCGGAACUUCUUAUUUCUUCCAUUUCUGCGCCUAUAGACUCCUAGCUGCUGCUCUUACAUACAUAAACAACUACAACAGUUUUUUUGGGGGGGGGUGGUUCUGCUACAUAGAUUGCUAGGUAGGUUGCCAUCUCAUCACCCAUGUUGAAAUAAAAUUCUAUUCACAUCUGGUUGACAUGGAACUGGGACGGCCUCAUGUAGAUGCCUUGAACCACCAUUGAAAGCAGUGCCUCUUUGUAAUUUAAGGAAUCUAAACAAGGGCAUGUACCUGGGCAGCCCUAGGGAGCAGCUUCUCUCCCCCCCCCUUAGUAACUUGCAAAAUGCAAAAUGGUUUUAGUGCAGGAAAGGAGGAUAAGGAAACAUAAAGAAAUAUGUACCCGACUGCGCCACCAAAGUAGGAGCCUGCUACAGGAGGAAUGUUGCUUGACCUCUUAAAGAGGGUCACUGUCAUUUCCCCCCAGCGCUCAGGGAUAAAAAAAAACUGUUCCAGGCAUUUGAGUGUAGCAGAAGUGCCGAGCCACAAGAGAUAAGAUUACAGGAAACCCAGGCAUUGUAUCGUGAUUCACAGCGGCCUGCGAAGUGGAAUUCAAAUUCCAUCAGGCAAGCACACACCCGCCAGUAUUUCAAAGAUGAAAAUAAAGCCACUCUUGUGUCCUUCUAACAGCCUUAUUCACACACCAGGGAUCAAAGUUUCUGCCUCCGCCCACUCACUUUUGCAUAUUUCCGAAGCCACUGCCCCCCCAGCGCUGCAAACUCAGACACUUUCAGUAGCAUUCCUUAUCUUAAUAGGCAGUUACAUGAAAGAUUUUGGGGGAAGGAAAAUGGCACACUCUGUUGAGGGGUUUUUUUAAAACAACAACAACAUGUAUAUGCAGUAGAAUCAAGACUCGCUCAGAAGUUAACUUUCAGAUAAUUCUCAUUAUUUAUUUCCUUUAUUAUCUGACCCAAGGUAGGUGCAAAUCUUCAGAGGGUCUUUAAAGGAAGGAGGCGGUGUUUCUGAUAUUUUGGCUGUUUAGGGCUUUUAGUGAUGUAUGGAAGUGAGAGCUGGACCAUAAAGAAGGCUGAUCACCGAAGAAUUGAUGCUUUUGAAUUAUGGUGCUGGAGGAGACUCUUGAGAGUCCCAUGGACUGCAAGAAGAUCAAACCUAUCCAUUCUUAAGGAAAUCAGCCCUGAGUGCUCACUGGAAGGACAGAUCCUGAAGCUGAGGCUCCAAUACUUUGGCCAUCUCAUGAGAAGAGAAGACUCCCUGGAAAAGACACUGAUAUUGGGAAAGAUGCAGGGUAGAAGGAGAAGGGGACGACAGAGGACGAGAUGGUUGGACAGUGUUCUCAAAGCUCCCAGCAUGAGUUUGACUAAACUGCGGGAGGCAGUGGAAGACAGGAGUGCCUGGCGUGCUCUGGUCCAUGGGGUCACGAAGAGUCGGACAUGACUAAACAACAACAAGGGCUUUUAACACUCUGUUGAGCAAAUUGAAUUGUGUCUGGAAUGAGCAUUUCACAAGUGCACUUGUUUGAAAACAGAAGUUAAGCGGUUUGUGAAUUGAACCCCAGCCAGUAAUCUGGUUGCUGCAUUUUUAGACCAGCUGAAGUUUCUGAGUCAUCGAUAGCGGCAGCCCCACGCCCAGCAUGUUGCAAUCAUCCGUUCUGGAAAUUGCCAGAGCAUGGAAUGCCACGGCCAGGUCAUCCCUGUCCAAAAGAGGCAGGAGUUGGCAAAGCAGCUGUAGCUGAAAAUAGGCACUCAUUGUCACAAAAGCCACCUGAGCCCACAUUGACAAAGUCGGAUCCAGGAGUUAGUCCCAAAUUGCAGACCUGCUCCUUCCAAGCCAGGUCAUUUCCCUACCUCCUGGUCAAGAACUCAGACCACAUUGUUGGCAUCCAUCUGUCUCUUCCAUUGUACAUUUCCCACAAUUAAAUGUCUACCAAUACAGUGGUACCUCAGGUUAAGUACUUAAUUCAUUCCGGAGAUCUGUUCUUAACCUGAAACUGUUCUUAACCUGAAGCACCACUUUAACUAAUGGGGCCUCCUUCUGUGCCGCGCCACCGGAGCACGAUUUCUGUUCUCAUCCUGAAGCCAAGUUCUUAACCUGAAGCACUAUUUCUGGGUUAGCGGAGUCUGUAACCUGAAGCGUCUGUAACCUGAAGUGUCUGUAACCCAAGGUACCACUGUAAAACAAUACAUUCAUUGACUUUCCUCCUCCUCCUUCCGUGAUUCUUUUAAUUUUCCCAUUAUUACUGCAUAUUCUAUUUCAACCAUUUAUUUUCCCCUCCUUUUUCAUAUUACCUCGACUUGAAUUAUACUGUUGAAUUUACCUUAAUCCUGAUAGUGUUUUCACUUGUUUACAACUGUUUUCCAGAUAUUGCACCCCAAAAAAUAUAAUCCAUUCCUCUUUAUAAACUCUGUCUUCUUGUUCUCUUAUUCUGCUGGUUAGACCUGGUAACUCUACAUAUUCCAUCAUUUUAAAAUGCCAUUCCUCCUACUGUGGGACCUUUCCCACCCUUCAUUUUUGGGCUAACAAAAUCUGAGCUGCUGUAGUUGCAUACACAAUUAAGUUUUUUUCUGACUUCUAUCUGCACCAUUCCUAAAAGAAAAACCUCUGGUUGGUUUUUUUUGGGGGGGGGAGGGGAUGUUCUUUUAAACAACUUUUUCAUCUCAUUGUAAAUCAUUCCCCAAUAAUCCUUAACUGUUCUGCAUGACCACCACAUAGGAUAGAACAGGCAUAGGCAAGCUCGACCCUCCAGAUGUUUUCGGACUACAACUCCCAUCAUCCCUGACCACUGGUCCUGAUAGCUAGGGAUGAUGGGAGUUGUAGUCCCAAAAACAUCUGGAGGGCCGAGUUUGCCUGUGCCCUGGAUAGAACAUCCCUUCUACUUCUUUACAUUUCCAGCACAUACCUGAUUCAGAUUUGUACAUUUUCACUAAUUUACUCGGAGUUAAGUACCAUCAAUAUAUCAUUUUCAUGUAAUUUUCCUUUUCAGUGUGUAACAUACAAUAUAUGUUAAGUCCUUCCAUAAUUUCUCCCAAAGGUCAAAUUCUAUAUUUCGUCUUAGAUCUCUUGCCCAGUGAGUCAUUGAUGAUUUUGCCAGCUCAUCUUUUGUUUCCCAUUCCAAUAAUAAUUUAAACAUUUUAGACAAUUGUCUCCAGGAAACAAUGGAGUGUGCCUCGGGGGGUGAAGUCAAACCACUGCGAUGCAGCACUAAAACCCAUCUUUUCAGUAUCCAGCUUGAAUUUAGAGUGGGGUUGAAACCUAAAGAAUGGCAAAUUUCGGAAUUCGUACUAACGCAAUUUAUAAAGGGCUCCCCAAAUCUCUCCAAAACACAAAAUGCAGAGGAAACUGGAAUAAUGGUUGACCACGGGCAGAUGCCAGUUAAUAGGACAUUUGGAGUAUGUGCACACAUAAUCGUAACCAAGGCCUUAGCAGAGUGAACACGGUCUAAAUGAGGAAUGACCUUGAGAUGUUUUUCAACUCAAACUCCCAUUAGGGAGUUGGAAUGAUGAUCGGGGAUGAUGGAAGUUGGAGUUUAGUAGCAUCUAAAGGGCGACAGUUUCCCAUCCCUGCCUCACCGGAGAGACUGAGUUUUUGCUCAAUUCAUGCAUUAACUGGCUGCAUCCCACAAUGCUCCAGUAACCUACAUAAUUAUGAAUCUUCUUCUUCUUCCAUUUUCAAAAUAGUAUUCCAUUCCUCUAUUUGAUUUACAGCAUCAAUUUCAGUACAAGUAAAUUUCAUCCAUCAAUCGAUACAAAUUCAGAUUAAGCUCAGUACUUUUUAAAUAAUAAUUUUUAUUAAUUUUCCAUUUCAAUCCAAUGAUAGCCUCAUUAAAACAAUAUCAAAUUAGAAUACAAUUACUAAUACCAAUUGUUCAAACACCAAAUUAUAUAAUUUAGGUGGCCUCCCACGUGCUAGAAUUGAUGGUUUGAUGAUUUUCUUCAUUUCUGAGUUACAGAAUCUUAUUAAUUUCAAUUACAUCCCAGUCAAAAUAACAAUCCCUUAUACAACAACUGCAAUAUUAGUAACUCCUAUUCGUGUUGACAUGACACAUUAAAUGAUUUAUAAAUCUACAAGUGAGGCACUUAAACUAUAUCCUUGUUCUUCCUGUGUGUGGCAAUUAUCCUGUCCGUGGCGUUUAUUCCUGGCCUUGUAAAAUGUUAUGUGUAUCUUUUCCCAGUUGUUGCUGUUCUCCAUCAUGCCUUGGGCGGAGAUGAUAUCCCAUUGUUGUUUCAGAAAUUUCUCCAUUGCUCUGUUCAGAUUAAGCUCAGUAUUGCUUGUUAUAGUGUACCUGUACCUCCAAAUAGAUAUGUAAUUGUGAAACUACAUGGAAGGUUUGAAAUUCCAUAUUCCAAAGGCACUGGUACCCAGAAGGUAGACUGCAUACUUUGCACACAAAAGGUCUCAGGUUCAGUCCAUGGCAUUGUUGCAUAGGAUUGGGAGACACCUUUGCCUGAAACACUGGGGAGCUGCUGCCAGCCGGUGCUGACAUUACUAGGCUAGAUGGAAUCUGUAUCAGGCAGCUUUCUAUAUCCAUUGUUCCUAACUGAUGUCAGAAGUUCCUGAGUAAUCAAAGCCCACAAACAGACCUGUUUAUCAACCUCCAGUAACCCAGCACUGUUGUACACCGAACAACCUAUAUUUAACAGGGGGAAGUGUGGAAUUGACCAGCCUGAGCCUGAUAAUAUGAGGAUAGAUUAUGCAUUGUACAAACUAAUUCAAAUAGUAAAGAAUGAUUUGAAUUCCACACUGCCAUCUGGUGAUGUUACACGGAAUGGCAUAUAUUGUAUAUGUGUGCAUAUGUAUAUGUACAUACAGUAUAUCUUUGUUUAUAUCUAUAUAAACGACCAAACUAGAUACAGUGGUGCCCCGCAAGACGAAUGCCUCGCAAGACGAAAAACUCGCUAGACGAAAGGGUUUUGCGUUUUUUGAGUCGUUCCGCAAGACGAAUUUCCCUAUGGGCUUGCUUCGCAAGACGAAACGUCUUGCGAGUUUGUUUCCUUUUUCUUAAAGCCGCUAAGCCGCUAAGCGCCGCUAAGCUGCUAAUAGCCGUGCUUCGCAAGACGAAAAAACCGCAAGACGAAGAGACUCGCGGAAUGGAUUAAUUUCGUCUUGCGAGGCACCACUGUACAACAGUGGUCAACCUGUCUGUCAGGACUGGCUUGUAACUGGAGGUGUCGGGAAGCUAUAGCAUCAGAGGGCAGGAGAUGACUCCUUCACCAAUUCAUGCUUUCCACUAGAAAUGGGAUUCUGUAUACAGUGGUACCUCGGGUUAAGAACUUAAUUCGUUCUGGAGGUCUGUUCUUAACCUGAAACUGUUCUUAACCUGAGGUACCACUUUAGCUAAUGGGGCCUCCCGCUGCUGCCGUGCGAUUUCUGUUCUCAUCCUGAAGCGAAGUUCUUAACCCAAGGUACUAUUUCUGGGUUAGCGGAGUCUGUAACCUGAAGCGUCUGUAACCCGAGGUACCACUGUAGUUUUAAUAUAAUCAAAAUGGUGUUUUUAAUGUAUAUAUAUUAACACCGGGACGCAGAUGGCGCUGUGGGUUAAACCACAGAGCCUAGGGCUUGCUGAUCAGAAGGUCGGCGGUUCGAAUCCCCGCCAUGGGGUGAGCUCCCGUUGCUCGGUCCCUGCUCCUGCCAACCUAGCAGUUCGAAAGCACGUCAAAGUGCAAGUAGAUAAAUAGGUACCGCUCCAGGCGGGAAGGUAAACGGCUUUUCCGUGUGCUGCUCUGGUUUGCCAGAAGCGGCUUAGUCAUGCUGGCCACAUGACCCGAAGCUGUCUGCGGACAAACGCCAGCUCCCUUGGCCAAUAAAGCAAGAUGAGCACUGCAACCCCAGAGUCGGUCACGACUGGACCUAAUGGUCAGGGGUCCCUUUACCUUUCUAUAAAACACCAUAUAACCUAUUUUCAUUUCUGCAAGUGGCUGCCCUUGCUCAUUAUUGUUUUCAAAUAAUUUGUCACACGAUCAAAGCUGAAUACAAAUAAAAAUGAGCUGAUAGAUUCUGCAUUCAUUUCCCUUAGGUUUGGAUUAGCAUCUUGGUGCAGCUAUUAGCUGCUAACUAGAGAGAGACACAUGAAAAUAGCCAGGCUAAAGCUUUAUGGUGCAAGGCCAAAAAGCUUUUCACGGCUCCUCACUGGCAUUUCCAUAAUUACUGAUGGAAUCGGUGAGCAGUUGUGGCCAAUGUCCUCUCCACCCCCCGCCCCUUCUCAGUUGGCUAGGACAGGAGGCAAAAUGCUUUCAAAAGUAACUUAAUCUGCUUGGCACGGGCAAGGUUCUUUUGAAGAGCGCGAAUGUUUUGCCACUGCACCAGCCUAAACGAGAAGUAUGCUUCGGUUAUUUAAUUAAAGCCGAUUGUGUAGGCUUCCAUUAGCUGAUCAUCCCUCUGCGGUCGAAUUGGAUCAUACUGGUGCCACUGUUGAAGUAGAUUUGUAUACAGGCGUCCAUAAUGCUGCCCUGUUGGAAGGGGAAAACAGAGAGGGCCAUGAAAGGACUUGGAACUUAGCUGGUGCACGGAGGAGGGAGGGAAGAGAGAGAGACAGUGAAUAUCUUUCAUAAUCUAAAUUCUGACUGCCUACUGCCAGCAAGGCUGAAACACUGCCUGAUUGUCCGAGGUUAGCAUGAGUUCAUACAGGGAAUACUUGGCUGUAUUUGUCCGAGAAGUGGCUUGGUUUUCGUGCUUAAUGCAGCACUGGCUUCGGCUUGGAAUUCUGGCCACUGCAGAUACAAAUUGCGCAGAAACAGCCUCCAAAGGAAAAGCGGUAUUUAUUUAUUUGAUUUCUCUCCCAUCCUUUCUUUCCAAAGACGCCCAGGGCAGCAAACAAUAAAGUAGUAAAAUAAAAACCCCACUAAAAUGCAGCUAAAAGAAAAGGAGCACGUUUCAAACCAUUAAGAACAUCUGAAAGCAGAGAAUAAAGACCUCCAUCAAAUUCUAAACUUUUAAAUUUCCUCUUCCUUUUUAGUGGCCUAGUAUCAGCGUGGCAGUGACUUUCUGAAGAUGAGGGGCGUUUCUCAGCUGCUCAGCUUGCACUGCUAUUUCCUUAUUCUUUGGGCAUAAAAUAUGCACUGUAGCAAUUUCACAACAAGAUCCAGCCGCGCAUCAUGCCGGCUCGCAAAUCAAACUGUGGCCCACAUGCAGCUGGCAUUUAACACAGAGGUGUGCGUGUACAAAAUCAGCGUUUGCAACAAAUUUUAGGCUGCACACCCAAACAUUUUCUCAGCAAUGAAGCAGAUUAACAGCGGGCUGCUCUACCCGUGAGUGUCAAGACUAAAAGCACUAAAAGAAGAGUAAACUAAAAGAGAGAGAGAGUAAAUUACCUCGCUUGAAAGCUUUGCCAACCAAGGUGGCAUAAUGGACAGAGUGUCUGUGGCAAGGGC